This 496-nucleotide ribosomal RNA is filed under the name uncultured bacterium. RNAcentral describes it as "partial 16S ribosomal RNA". It matches the Rfam family "Bacterial small subunit ribosomal RNA", at positions 28 to 506 of the family's 1533-position model. The record is from RNAcentral.
GAUGAACGCUGGCGGCGUGCCUAAUACAUGCAAGUCGAGCGAACGGACGAGAAGCUUGCUUCUCUGAUGUUAGUGGCGGACGGGUGAGUAACACGUGGAUAACCUACCUAUAAGACUGGGAUAACUUCGGGAAACCGGAGCUAAUACCGGAUAAUAUUUUGAACCGCAUGGUUCAAAAGUGAAAGACGGUCUUGCUGUCACUUAUAGAUGGAUCCGCGCUGCAUUAGCUAGUUGGUAAGGUAACGGCUUACCAAGGCAACGAUGCAUAGCCGACCUGAGAGGGGUGUCGGCCACCCGGGAACUGAGAAACGGUCCAAACUCCUAGGGGAGGCAGCAGGAGGGAAUUUUCCGCAAUGGGCGAAAGCCUGACGGAGAAACGCCGGGGGGGUGAUGAAGGUUUUGGGAUCGUAAAACUCUGUUAUUAGGGAAGAACAUAUGUGUAAGUAACUGUGCACAUUUUGACGGUACCUAAUCAAAAAGCCGCGGCUAACUACGU